CUUUAAUUGGAAAACAGCCUAAUAGAAUAAUAACAAAAUCAAUCCUGGUGUUUAUUGCCAUUUUGGUGUAGAAAACCAAAUAUGUAGGGCUGCGGGUGAAGUAAAUCUUUUAUCUGAAAUUAUUGUUAAUAUAAAUGUCGAUGGGCUGCCAUUAUUUAAGAGUUCUAAAGCUCAAUUGUGGCCCAUUUUAAAGAAGAUUAUGAACGCAAGCAAUAUUUCUACAUUUUGUGUCGGUGUGUACUUUGGGUACAAAAAGCCCGAUGAUAUUAGUGAAUUCCUAUUGAAUUUAGUAGAUGAACUCAAACAUUUAAUAUCAAACGGCACUACUAUAAGCAACAAAUUAAUUCCGUUUAAAGUAGGAGCGCUGAUAUGCGAUGCGCUAGCUAAAUCUUUUGUGUGUGGCGUUCCUUCCCAUACUUCAAGCCAUGGAUGCACCAAAUGUUGUCAAAUUGGGAAAAAGAUCAAUAAUACCCUAACUUAUUCUACUGAAAGUGGGGACUUAUUGUCAAAUGAAGAUUUUCGCUCAAGGAAAUACUUGAAGCACCAUCAAAAGCUUUUCUACAAUAUCAAAACUCCUUUGGAGAGCAUUGACUUUAAUAUAAUAACGCAAGUACCACUUGACCCAAUGCAUCUUUUAGAUCUCGGAGUUGUUAGAAAAUUUUUGUCGAGAAUGUUUUAUGAUAAAUGCAAUUACAGAUUAAGUAAAGAAAACAAGAAAGGAAUAUCGGAACACUUGGUGUGCCAAAGGAAUUUGUUCGAAGGCCUCGAAGUUUUGAUGAGCUAGCGAAUUGGAAAGCAAUAGAGUUCAGACAGUUCGGCUUAUACACGGGCAUAGUUGUUCUUAAAAAUAAGGUUCAUGAUGAUGUUUAUGAUGAAUUCCUUUUAUUAUUCUGUGCUUAUCGUUUGCUGUCGUGUCCUAAAAAUUGCAUAAAAAAUAUUCCUACUGCUCAAAAUAUGUUGCAGCUGUUUGUUAAGAAUUUUCCCAUAAUUUUUGGAGAAAAUAGCUUAUCGCAUAAUAUUCAUGGACUUUUGCAUUUAACAGAUUCAGUAAAUGUGCUUGGAGAUCUAGCAAAUUUUUCAGCAUAUCCUUUUGAGAAUUAUCUUCAAACAUUGAAGAAAUAUGUGAAGAAGCCCUCGCAAGUAUUGCAACAAAUCUUUAAAAAAAUCGAUAAUGAAAAAAUUAUGGUCGGAAAAAUAGGGUCUGAAGUAAAAUACAAGAAGAACAGAAUCAUUGGCAUUUCACAUCAGGAUUAUUUUAUAAGUUCCCUUAGUCCUGACAACUUCUGUUCUAUUUCAUCAAAUACAUCAAUCAAAGUGAUUGGUUUCAAAAAAAUUGACAGCAAAAUUUUUAUAACUGGAAACAAAUUUACCAAACUUGAAAGCCUUUUUAAAGAACCCACUGAUUCUAUCACGUCUCUGGGCAUAUGUAUUGUAUAUCCAGAAAGCUUAGGUCCAGAAGAGAACUUUACUUUAGAUCAAAUCACACACAAAUUUGUUGGUUUGCCACUUAAAAAUCAAUUACUUUUGAUACCACUGCUACAUUGCUCUAUUGAAGAAACGAAAAUGUAUAAAAGAAAAAUAACUUUGAAAAACUCCGAAAAUACGAAACCGAAAAUAAAAAAGGUAAAUGUUACUCCAGAGGGUAAUUGCUGUAAUUGUGCAGAGCUACGUGAUUUUUCCAGGCAGAAAUAAAUAAUACAAAAGAGCAACAAUUACAGCAUAAUAAAGCUAUCAUGGAGGUGCUAGCGGAUCAAACUGUGCUGAUCAAAUCUUUGGUUCGAAAAGAAAGUUCUGAAAUUUCUAUCUGCACAUCAUUUCCAGUACAUAAUGAGGACGCUUUAGCAACUGUUGAUAAACAAAUAAACGAAGCAAACAGAUCAAUUUAUGUCAAAGGAAUGAAAUUCCUUAUGAGAGGACAAAAAGAAGCUUUUGUCGAUACUUAGUCAGGAUUGCAUACUUAAAUACAACGUCGACGGCACACAUGGACAGAAAAGUCUAAAAUACUAUAACAAUUUUUACUCUGUCCUAAAAGACGCCUUUUAUGAGAAUGAAAAUGAUCCUGAGGACACGAUUCGCAAACCUAUUCAAUCUGUAAAAAGAGACUAUUUUCAUUCCGAAUGCAUGAGGAAAAAACAAUCAGCAGUUUAAGCAGCUUUACUUAUGAACAUCAAUUCUUAUAUUCACUUAAAUAUUAACACCUCGUACAUAAAGUGAGUAACAGUAAAAAUCGAACAAUGAUUAUUUUGCAGUGUUUUCCAUACUACUUUGAAUUAUUCAGUCUAAAAAAUUUUAAU
Molecule: long non-coding RNA, 2294 nt
Organism: Rhagoletis pomonella (apple maggot)
Lineage: Eukaryota; Metazoa; Arthropoda; Insecta; Diptera; Tephritidae
Exons: 4
Source: RefSeq, a predicted model, not a curated record